GGCUAUGCUAGGAUGGGUUUGGGUUGGGGCCGGGGCUUUGGGUUGGGGCGGAGCUAUGGGUUGGGUCAGUUUUAAUUGGACAGGGCUAUCGUUGGGGGCGGGGCUAUAGGUGGGGCAGGACUGUGGUUGGGUGGGGCUUGGGAUGGGGGCGGGGCUAUAGAGGGGACAGGGUUACGAUUGGAUGGGCUACGGGUUGGAGGCGGUGGGGUCAGAAUUGGGGUGAUGGGGUCAGGAUUAGGAUUGGGACUAAUGUUGGGAUUAUGGGGUUGGGAUUAUGGGGUCAGAUUUGGAGUUAUGGGGUCGGGGUUAGGGUUCAGAUUGGGAUUAACAUUGGGAUUAUGGGAUUGGGGCUAUGGGGUCAGAAUUGGGGUUAUGGGGUUGGGGUUAGGAUUGGGAUUCAUGUUGGGAUUAUGGGGUUGGGAUUAUGGGUCAGAAUUGGGGUUAUGGGAUUGGGAUUAGGAUUGGGAUUAACAUUGGGAUUAUGAGGUUGGGACUAUGGGGUCAGGUGAUGGGUUCAGGAUUAGGAUUGGGAUUAACGUUGGGAUUAUGGGGUUGGGGUUAUGGGGUCAGAAUUGGAGUGAUGGGGUUAGGGUUCAGAUUGGGAUUAGCAUUGGGAUUAUGGGGUUGGGGUUAUUGGGUCAGAAUUGGGUUUAUGGCGUUGGGGUUAGGAUUGGGAUUGGGAUUAGCUUUAGGACUACGGGGUUGGGGUUAUGGGGUGAGAAUUGGGGUUAUGGGGUCAGGGUUAGGAUUGGGAUUGGGAUUAUGGGGUUGGGGUUAUGGAGUCAGAACUGGAGUUAUGGGGUCAGGGUUGGAUUCAGAUUGGGAUUAACAUUAGGACUGCAGGGUUGGGGCUAUGGGGUCAGAGUUGGAGUUAUGGGGUCAGGGUUCAGAUUGGGAUUGGGAUUAUGGGUUGGGGUUAUGGGGUCAGAAUUGGGGUUAUGGGGUUGGGGUUAGGAUUGGGAUUAACGUUGGGAUUAUGGGAUUGGGGUUAUGGGAUCAGAAUUGGAGUUAUGGGGUUGGGAUUCGGACUGGGAUUAACGUUGGGAUUAUGGGAUUGGGGUUAUGGGGUCAGAAUUGGGGUUAUGGGGUCAGGGUUAGGGUUCAGAUUGGGAUUAACAUUAGGACUGUGGUGUUGGGGUUAUGGGGUCAGAAUUGGAGCUAUGGGGUCAGGGUUAGGAUUGGGUUUGGGAUUAAGGUUGGGAUUAUGGUUUUGGGGCUAUGGGGUCAGAAUUGGCGUUAUGGGGUUGGGGUUAGGAUUGGGAUUGUGAUUAU
This 1272-nucleotide long non-coding RNA is filed under the name Phasianus colchicus (ring-necked pheasant). RNAcentral's name for it is "lncRNA (ENSPCLG00000013852.1)". Lineage: Eukaryota; Metazoa; Chordata; Aves; Galliformes; Phasianidae. The record is from RNAcentral.